GACGAACGCUGGCGGCGUGCUUAACACAUGCCAGUCGAACGAAGAGCGAUGGAAGCUUGCUUCUAUCAAUCUUAGUGGCGAACGGGUGAGUAACGCGUAAUCAACCUGCCCUUCAGAGGGGGACAACAGUUGGAAACGACUGCUAAUACCGCAUACGAUCUAACCUCGGCAUCGAGGAUAGAUGAAAGGUGGCCUCUACAUGUAAGCUCUCACUGAAGGAGGGGAUUGCGUCUGAUUAGCUUGUUGGAGGGGUAACGGCCCACCAAGGCGAUGAUCAGUAGCCGGUCUGAGAGGAUGAACGGCCACAUUGGGACUGAGACACGGCCCAGACUCCUACGGGAGGCAGCAGUGGGGAAUCUUCCGCAAUGGACGAAAGGCUGACGGGGCAACGCCGCGUGAGUGAUGACGGCCUUCGGGUUGUAAAGCUCGGUUAAUCGGGACGAAAGGCCUUCUUGCGAAUAGUGAGAAGGAUUGACGGUACCGGAAUAGAAAGCCACGGCUAACUACGUG
This 510-nucleotide ribosomal RNA is filed under the name uncultured bacterium. Its description in RNAcentral is "partial 16S ribosomal RNA". It matches the Rfam family "Bacterial small subunit ribosomal RNA", at positions 28 to 507 of the family's 1533-position model. The record is from RNAcentral.